UGUACAGCUGAAAUUAGAAUCUUUAACAAUUAUUAAAGUGUACACUUUCUUAUGGAUGUCUAUAACUCCAUGUGGAUGUCUAUGUACAUAUAUAACUACAAGUCACACUAUGCAAAAUGAAGAUUUCUACAUGUAUGAUUUGAUAAACGAGCAGAAACAGUAAAAAGCUAUUAAAAUACGCUUAUAUGUAGGUAGGUACAUAUUAGCGUAUUUCAAUAGCUUUUUACUGACCUCAUGAUUAUUUCAUGAAAAAAUAACAUUUGUCCUGGUUUUAUGUUAGUAUACUGGCCACUGAUAAAAGAAUAAAUGACAAUGUGUUCUUAGUUUAAAUAUUUUUUCCCAUAUUGACAGAUAAGAUUGCGGCCGAUUGUCUUUAACAUAUAAAAUUACGAUUUGUUAUUUUGGAAGUUCAAUAUAAUUAUUUUCAUUACCACUACACGCUAGUUUUAAUUUAUUAUAGACAAACUAUUUGAACAACAUUAAUUUUCAAUAAUCUUCCACAACAUUCUCGAAGCAGUCAGCGAGGAUGUUGAACUGGCAGAUUAGGUGCAACAGAUAGGUUUGCAUCCUGACAUCCACGAUCAUCACGAAGUGGGAGAUGAAGUAGAACACUACGACCAGGAUCACAAAGCUAUCAUAUGUAUCACUAUGACAUUGAGGGAAGCUGCGACGUCGUCAAAGUCUUCAGGCUCCAAAAUAGCAUGAGUCACUUCAAACGCAAACAAGAGUGAUACAAAUAACUUGACGAUAGUACUG
Molecule: long non-coding RNA, 756 nt
Organism: Plodia interpunctella (Indianmeal moth)
Lineage: Eukaryota; Metazoa; Arthropoda; Insecta; Lepidoptera; Pyralidae
Exons: 3
Source: RefSeq, a predicted model, not a curated record